GAUGAACGCUAGCUACAGGCUUAACACAUGCAAGUCGAGGGGCAGCAUGAACUUAGCUUGCUAAGUUUGAUGGCGACCGGCGCACGGGUGAGUAACACGUAUCCAACCUUCCGUUUACUCAGGGAUAGCCUUUCGAAAGAAAGAUUAAUACCUGAUAGUAUGGUGAGAUUGCAUGAUAACACCAUUAAAGAUUUAUUGGUAAACGAUGGGGAUGCGUUCCAUUAGGUAGUAGGCGGGGUAACGGCCCACCUAGCCUGCGAUGGAUAGGGGUUCUGAGAGGAAGGUCCCCCACAUUGGAACUGAGACACGGUCCAAACUCCUACGGGAGGCAGCAGUGAGGAAUAUUGGUCAAUGGGCGAGAGCCUGAACCAGCCAAGUAGCGUGAAGGAUGAAGGUCCUACGGAUUGUAAACUUCUUUUAUACGGGAAUAAAGUUUCCUACGUGUAGGAUUUUGUAUGUACCGUAUGAAUAAGCAUCGGCU
RNAcentral lists this ribosomal RNA (481 nucleotides) under uncultured bacterium. Its description in RNAcentral is "bacterial SSU rRNA". It matches the Rfam family "Bacterial small subunit ribosomal RNA", at positions 28 to 498 of the family's 1533-position model. The record is from RNAcentral.